This 587-nucleotide long non-coding RNA is filed under the name Nicotiana benthamiana. RNAcentral describes it as "long non-coding RNA (NBEN_LNC033710)". Lineage: Eukaryota; Viridiplantae; Streptophyta; Magnoliopsida; Solanales; Solanaceae. The record is from RNAcentral.
UCUGGGUUAGUUUCGAGUUGGUGUGAGUGUAUUCAAGCUGGUUUUAGGUGAUUCGGUGGUUGAAAUUAGUGGUGGGUCAUUUGAUUUAUUACUGGAUUUUUGAACUUGUUGCUGAACUACUGCUGAAAAUUCUUAUUGCUGCUGAUCUUUUCUUCUUCUCAUUGUAUUUCCACUUCAGGCACACGUCAUGUAAUUUCCUAGUUGGAUGUGAACUGAAUUGCAGCAUGGCUUUAUUUUCCGCUAAUUUUCAUACUAGAUUUCCUGUAAUUUCAUGAACAUUAAUAGAUCCACGUAUGUAAUUAAAACAAUAGACUAUUGGACUAUAGAAACUUUGUUUUUUAUAAAAUUUGUAUGGCUGUGAUUUCAGUUUUAGCAUAAGUAAUGUUAAUGACUCAAUGUAUAGGUCAAAACAUGAGGUUUCAGUUUAGAACAUGAAGUUUCAAAUUCGAGAUCUUAAGAAUAAUUCCACAUGUAUUGAAAGCUUAAUUGCAUUGUUGGAUUUUCGUUAACAUUGGAAUUACAUGAGUUUGCAUUUAAUGGCAUUAAUUCAGUGGCAGGAAAUAAGUGACUAGUUAGUUUAAAAUCAG